AAUCACCUCCUUUGUGCCAGAGUCUUUCAUAUACAUUAUCUCACUGAAUUACUUACAAGAUUCUUAUGAAGUAGAUUAGUUCUCACAUUUUAAUGGACGUGUGAAUCACCUGGGGAUCUUGUUAAAAUGCAGAUUCUGAUUUUGCAAGUCUGAGAUGGGCUCAACAUUAUGCAUCUCCAAAAAGCUUCCAGCCAGCACAGUGGCCCACGCCUGUAAUCCCAGCAUUUUGGGAGGCUGAGGCUGGUGAACAUUGUCACCAUAAAGAAGUGAUAAAUGUUGAAAGUGAUGGAUAUGAUUUAUUGCCAAACCCUGCGCACUCCAUAUUGGCAUCGAGGACAGUGGUCCUUAUCAGGCCCAACCCAAUGCCAUCCUUGAAAAGGUGUUCAUAUCUAUUACCAAGUAUCCUGAGAAGAAAAGGCUGGAGGGCCUGUCAAAGCAGCUGGAUUGGAAUGUCCGAAAAAUCCAAUGUUGGUUUCGCCAUCGGAGGAAUCAGGACAAGCCCCCAACGCUUACUAAAUUCUGUGAAAGCAUGUGGAGAUUCACAUUUUAUUUAUGUAUAUUC
This 562-nucleotide small RNA is filed under the name Pongo abelii (Sumatran orangutan). RNAcentral describes it as "processed transcript". Lineage: Eukaryota; Metazoa; Chordata; Mammalia; Primates; Hominidae. The record is from RNAcentral.